Molecule: ribosomal RNA, 270 nt
Filed under: uncultured archaeon
Lineage: Archaea
Description: partial 16S ribosomal RNA
Rfam family: Archaeal small subunit ribosomal RNA
Source: RNAcentral
CAGCACCUCAAGUGGUCAGGAUGAUUAUUGGGCCUAAAGCAUCCGUAGCCGGCGCUGUAAGUUUUCGGUUAAAUCUGUCCGCUCAACGUACAGGCUGCCGGGAAUACUGCAGCGCUAGGGAGUGGGAGAGGUAGACGGUACUCGGUAGGAAGGGGUAAAAUCCUUUGAUCUAUUGAUGACCACCUGUGGCGAAGGCGGUCUACCAGAACACGUCCGACGGUGAGGGAUGAAAGCUGGGGGAGCAAACCGGAUUAGAUAGCCGAGUAGUCC